RNAcentral lists this ribosomal RNA (253 nucleotides) under Blautia schinkii. RNAcentral describes it as "partial 16S ribosomal RNA". It matches the Rfam family "Bacterial small subunit ribosomal RNA", at positions 524 to 776 of the family's 1533-position model. The record is from RNAcentral. Lineage: Bacteria; Bacillati; Bacillota; Clostridia; Lachnospirales; Lachnospiraceae.
UACGUAGGGGGCAAGCGUUAUCCGGAUUUACUGGGUGUAAAGGGAGCGUAGACGGAUUAGCAAGUCUGAUGUGAAAGGCAGGAGCUCAACCCCUGGACUGCAUUGGAAACUGCCAGUCUUGAGUGCCGGAGAGGUAAGCGGAAUUCCUAGUGUAGCGGUGAAAUGCGUAGAUAUUAGGAGGAACACCAGUGGCGAAGGCGGCUUACUGGACGGCAACUGACGUUGAGGCUCGAAAGCGUGGGGAGCAAACAGG